This 1082-nucleotide unclassified non-coding RNA is filed under the name Haliotis rubra (blacklip abalone). RNAcentral describes it as "neuropeptide Y receptor type 2-like, transcript variant X1". The record is from RNAcentral. Lineage: Eukaryota; Metazoa; Mollusca; Gastropoda; Lepetellida; Haliotidae.
UUACCAGGUAUUGGAUUUUGUCAAUUUAUAUGUUAUCAUACCAUACUGCAGAUGAAUAGUAACAUAUUGUGCUGCAACUUCAAUUAUCAUAUAGCGCUAACAUGUUUGAUCUGUAGCAUGUGCACACGACGUCUCUCCUCCACAACAUAGAGAAAUAGGCGCUUCAAGUCAGCAUUACCAGGGAAAGCAUAACGGGAAGCAGGCCUUCAGUUUGAGACAAGACGGUACACACGUUGAUACAACAGCAUAGCCAAGGUGCAGGCCAUAUCACAGGCGCCCGGGGGCCUUCUACAGAAAGUGUCUGUAAAGCGCAGAGUCGGAUCACGCCCGGGGAACACACCUGCUCCUAGAUUGUUUAGUGUCCCCUGUCGUGACCUGGUGACAGACAAACAGACAGCCAGACAGCCAGGCAGGCAGGCAGGUAGGCAGGCAGACAAGCAGGCAGACAAACAGACUAAUACCGGCGCCGUCAGUUUAACAAUUGUAUUCGGAAAAUGCAUAAUUAUGUAAGUGUGAAGCAUCACAUGAUACUACCACCAUUUCACACAAAUCUCGUGCACCGAGCUGAGUGUUGGUGUUCAGUGCUUUCAAAACCAGCGUGGUCACGUGGUAGCUUUCAGACGAGGGCUUAUGUUUUAAGCCUUCCAGAUCUACUUAUAGACAAAGUGAUUUACAAAGGGCGGUAAAUGAAAGGCCGAAUCGGAACAAAACCAGAACGCCAGAUUGAAGUCCUUAAUUGAUAGGUAAAGCUGGAUUAUGUUUGCUUAACCUGAACCUACAGACUGUAUACAGAGCUACUGCACUAACAUGUUGCGUUGCCAACCUUCAUUAGCCAUGGCUGCAGCAACAAUGGCGGGUAUCAAACAGUGUUGGCAUGUUUUGUUUGUUUCAAGACUUCAAAACAAACGAGUAUUCUGCUUGACUGAGGCUUGUGGCUUCUAGAGCGUCUUGUGGAUAGGUGAACUGCCUAGAUGAACAGACAGUACCGGCCACUAACUGCACACACAGAAUCAAAUAAUAAUAGCAUACGUUGUAUUCAAGUUCACUCUUGGGAACAAAUGUACGUUGUUGGUAAAUCUAAA